RNAcentral lists this small nuclear RNA (205 nucleotides) under Meriones unguiculatus (Mongolian gerbil). RNAcentral's name for it is "7SK RNA (ENSMUGG00000008647.1)". It matches the Rfam family "7SK RNA". From Rfam's summary of the family: 7SK was discovered as an abundant small nuclear RNA in the mid-70s but a possible function has only recently been suggested. Two independent studies have found that 7SK RNA binds the CDK9/cyclin T complex (known as elongation factor P-TEFb). P-TEFb activates transcription by phosphorylating the C-terminal domain of RNA polymerase II. The record is from RNAcentral. Lineage: Eukaryota; Metazoa; Chordata; Mammalia; Rodentia; Muridae.
AGGCUGGCGCUCUUUAUGUGCGUCCCUCCCGAAGCUGUGGGCUUGAUCUAAGGGGACGACCAUCCUGCGUAGAGGAGGACCCAUCUUCGGUCAAGGGUGUAGGAGUAGCUGUGCUCCUCUGCUAGAACCUCCAAACAAGCUCAAGGUCCAGUCUAUUCACCACGCAGAGAACUCCUGCCAUCAUGGUGAAAGGAGCUCUCUGUUA